Molecule: long non-coding RNA, 1112 nt
Organism: Labeo rohita (rohu)
Lineage: Eukaryota; Metazoa; Chordata; Actinopteri; Cypriniformes; Cyprinidae
Exons: 3
Source: RefSeq, a predicted model, not a curated record
AAGCAGCAGCCGGCUAUGCGAGUAUAAAGUGCCUAAAAGCAGAUGACAUAGCCAGUGCAGUGGUAUAUGUCCUAAGUGCUCCUCCUUAUGUCCAGCUCGGUGAUGUUCAGAUGAGGCCUGUGGAACAGAUACCAUAACAGAUAAAAAAGAGCAUCUCUAACAUCUUUACCAGCAAUCGAACAGCUCAUAACAAAGACUAUAGAAAUACAAAGACAGUUCACUCCUAUGAAUGGAAGAAACUGCAACGCACAGUAUGGUGUAAUAGUCCCGCUUUCUAAAUGAAAGAGCCAGUUGCUGAUUGGUAAAGUCAUUGCAUCACUGCAACGGCUGCUAGAAGUGCCAGUUUCCAUAAAAACUUGAGGCUUGACUGGCCAAUGUGCAUGCACAGUCAUAAGGCGCAUUGGCUGGUCUAGGUUAAAAAAUAGGCUGUUUAAAUGCUAUUUGAGCAUCAGAAACAACAUUCGGGGCAGUUCAUUUCAUUUAAUUGUGAGUUCAGCGAGCAGUUUUUGAGAUUUCAGGAUUCCCCCAUUCAUUUAGAUAGGACUUGGUCUUGGAUGAGCUGCCCAGGGGCAUUGCAAAUAUGGAGCUGACUUUUCCUUUGCUCAAAAACAAUUGUCAAAGAUGGCAUUAGUGUCACUUAUAAUAUGUUUUCUUAAUUGUUAUUUACAAUACUCCAUAACCAUAACCAGUAUCUCUUUUGAGAUUUUUUUUUCUUCUUUGUAAUAAAAGACUAGGGGACUAAAACAUGUAUACAUAUAUAACUUACUUGUCAAAUGGGCAUGGCAGGGUAUGGCAGGUUAUGUUCGUCUUGACUAGGUGAUUACUGUAAUCUGGGUCAAUACAGUUAGGGAAGGUCAAAAAAACUCUCAUCUCAUUUUCAUCGCUGUUUUACCUUUUUUUUUUUGUAAAGGGAGUUUGACCUUCUUUGCCUAUUCACUUUGUAAACACUGGGUCGGUACUUUUGCAGCAAUAUAGGGCUAUUUUGAAGUUGGAGGAGAAAAUGAGAUGGGAGUUUUUCCGACAUAUCCUAACUGUAUUGACCCAGAUUACACAGAGUAUGCAUGCACAUCACAGAAAAGAUGAGCAUUUAAGGUUAAAAAGUAUUUUUUUUU